CCUACGGGAGGCAGCAGUGAGGAAUAUUGGUCAAUGGACGAGAGUCUGAACCAGCCAAGUAGCGUGAAGGAUGACUGCCCUAUGGGUUGUAAACUUCUUUUAUAUGGGAAUAAAAUGUUCCACGUGUGGGAUUUUGUAUGUACCAUAUGAAUAAGGAUCGGCUAACUCCGUGCCAGCAGCAGCGGUAAUACGGAGGAUCCGAGCGUUAUCCGGAUUUAGUGGGUUUAAAGGGAGCGUAGGUGGAUUGUUAAGUCAGUUGUGAAAGUUUGCGGCUCAACCGUAAAAUUGCAGUUGAAACUGGCAGUCUUGAGUACAGUAGAGGUGGGCGGAAUUCGUGGUGUAGCGGUGAAAUGCUUAGAUAUCACGAAGAACUCCGAUUGCGAAGGCAGCUCACUGGACUGCAACUGACACUGAGGCUCGAAAGUGUGGGUAUCAAACAGGAUUAGAUACCCCAGUAGUC
This 460-nucleotide ribosomal RNA is filed under the name uncultured bacterium. Its description in RNAcentral is "partial 16S ribosomal RNA". It matches the Rfam family "Bacterial small subunit ribosomal RNA", at positions 338 to 795 of the family's 1533-position model. The record is from RNAcentral.